AAAAAGGCAAACUCUGGGUUUCCGUGUCCAACGUUUGACUGUCCGUCUUAUAUGAAAUUUUUUUAUAAUUAGUAUUUUUAUUAUUGUUAGAUAAUAAAACAUGAUUAAUACUUAAUGCGUGACUUGUCUUUUUAAUUUUUUCAAAUAAGACGGACGGUCAAACGUUGGACACGUAAACCCAUGGUUUGUCUUUUU
This 195-nucleotide microRNA precursor is filed under the name Oryza sativa Japonica Group (Japanese rice). RNAcentral's name for it is "MIR812 microRNA precursor family". It matches the Rfam family "MIR812 microRNA precursor family". The record is from Rfam by way of RNAcentral. Lineage: Eukaryota; Viridiplantae; Streptophyta; Magnoliopsida; Poales; Poaceae.